RNAcentral lists this ribosomal RNA (219 nucleotides) under uncultured bacterium. Its description in RNAcentral is "partial 16S ribosomal RNA". It matches the Rfam family "Bacterial small subunit ribosomal RNA", at positions 116 to 334 of the family's 1533-position model. The record is from RNAcentral.
CGGUGGGUAACCUGCCUCAUACAGGGGGAUAGCAGCUGGAAACGGCUGAUAAAACCGCAUAAGCGCACAGCAUCGCAUGAUGCAGUGUGAAAAACUCCGGUGGUAUGAGAUGGACCCGCGUCUGAUUAGCUAGUUGGUGAGGUAACGGCCCACCAUGGCGACGAUCAGUAGCCGGCCUGAGAGGGUGACCGGCCACAUUGGGACUGAGACACGGCCCAA